UACAGAGGGGGCAAGCGUUAUUCGGAAUUAUUGGGCGUAAAGGGCGCGUAGGCGGCCUGGCAAGUGGAAGGUGAAAUCCCUCGGCUUAACCGAGGAACUGCCCUCCAAACUGCUUGGCUUGAGUCCGGGAGAGGUGAGUGGAAUUCCCAGUGUAGCGGUGAAAUGCGUAGAGAUCGGGAGGAACAUCAGUGGCGAAGGCGGCCAUCUGGGACAACACUGACGCUGAGGCACGAAAGCGUGGGGAGCAAACAGG
RNAcentral lists this ribosomal RNA (253 nucleotides) under uncultured bacterium. Its description in RNAcentral is "partial 16S ribosomal RNA". It matches the Rfam family "Bacterial small subunit ribosomal RNA", at positions 524 to 776 of the family's 1533-position model. The record is from RNAcentral.